Oreochromis aureus is the source of this 2324-nucleotide long non-coding RNA. Lineage: Eukaryota; Metazoa; Chordata; Actinopteri; Cichliformes; Cichlidae. The record is from Ensembl.
CUUUUUUCAAUAUGAACUUACCUGCGAUAACUUCUGGACAUUUAUAGAUCAUUAGGACUAAAGUGUUCUUAACAGAAACAGCAACAUUUUUAUAGUUCCCUUAUCUUCAGCGCUCCGUGUGGGAGUGGCUUACACACAGCUGAAGACUGAUUUACAGCGUCUGUGCAGUGAGCAGACUCAAUAUCCUGGAAAGGUGCUAACCGCUAGGCUAACUAGCAACAAGAUGCCUUCCCUCUCCACAGAUGACUACCACAGCCUCCUGCAGAAGAUUGCAGUACUAGAAACAAAAAUUCAUCGCUUAGAAAGUAAACGUGGUGGUAAAUGGACUGUGUGGAAAUGAAACAAUCUUUCCUUUGAUUCAAAACAAUGGCGAUGAGCAAGCUAGUACACAGCUAAGGAGCACAGAUAACAUGACCAAGACAGAAGACUCUGUGCAUUAUAAUAAAUCCUCAAGCGAUAAUCCCCCCUUGAACUGUCUUGGUGCAAAACCAAGACAUAAAUCAAGUCUCCUGGAAGGGGGAGGACGUAUCACAGGCAAAGCACAGCGAGCUGAAAUCUCUGAAACCGACUGGCCUUCACUUCCUACGAGACAGAGAAGCUCUUCUACCCCUGAAUAUGGGAGGAAACAGGACUGGACAACCGUGAAUAGGAAGGUUAACAACAAACCUCCAAAACAACUGAAUGUGAAACUGCAGAACAGAUUUGCUCCACUAUCAAAGGACCCUGGAUUAGUUCCUUAGUUCCUCCUUACCACCUUCAUGCUCUGUCUCCGCAGUCUGAUGUGUGAUGUGUGGAGGGUCCGAGCUGUGAGGAUUAUGGCAGUGGUGACCCCGGAGAAGCUGGGACCCUGUUUACUAGAAGGAGCUGCCCUCAGAUUCAGACCUCAGCACCACCCAGUGACAGCAGACAGAUCAUCCAACAUGUUAACUGCAAAAUGAACUGAUGAAAACAGUACAAAGGUUAAAGUAUCACACGUGCUGUAGUGAAAGCUGCAGCUUUAUUGAUAAAGUUAAAGACAAAAAAACAAAAGGAUUAAUCACUCAUGUAACUGUGUCACUAUAUAUCAGCAUUAACAGGACCUCAGUUUGGUGUUUCACAAAGCUGCUGAUCUCAGACCUGCACAGCUUCCGAUUUAAACACUUGAUGUACUCAGCUGCAUGAAGAGCAUAUGAGAUUUUCUCGGACACAAUUAAAUAAAACCUGAUGAAGGUCAAAGGUCGUCACUUGUAUGUUGAACUACAAACUUGUCAUCUGGAAUUCUUUCACAGUUUUUUGCAGAUAAUGUGUUAUUUACUUUAAAGUGAUUCAGAGUUAUUCAUACCAGAGUAACCAGAGAGGAUCACAUAUUUUUAAAUAUAUAACUUUCUACAGGACUGAAUAUAAUAUCUUUAUGUAAAAGUCCGGAGCCUCUGGGGAGUAUCCGAGUAUUUAUAACAUUACACAAACCAAAGGUCUCCAUCACAGUGUUCAUGAAAUGCUGGAUUUAUCCAUCUCCUGGAUCGGGCCUACGGAGGAGUGCUGAAGAUUUCCCUGUGAGGGAGCUGCUGGUGAAGAUCAUGAGUCCUGCUUGAUCAAUGCGAUGAGCUUCAGUCUUCCUGGUGUUUCUUAAAUGAUGCCUCUUACAGCGGGUCAACAGAACUUAUGGCACAGGACAGCUGUGAUGAAAGAAAGGGAAGAAGUUUCUCCAAACCUCUGGACACAGGAAACCCAGCUUAGUCCUGAUGGUCUCCCUCACUAGUUUCUCUCCAGGGUGAAUGUAGCUGUUGAUAUACUAUGGACUCUAUUAUUAAAUGAAAAUAACAAAUUAGACUACACUACUGAAACGUUCUGCUGAUGUUUUUAAAGUUUCCAUGUUACCAGGCUGUAGAGGGCUCUGAAGAUUUAAACAGUUUUAGAUCCAUUACACUCACAGUCUUAUGUUAAAAUCUCAAAGGACAGCAUUAUAUUUUUGAUAUUAACAGUAACUCUGGGCCUCUGUAGAGUGUGCAGCUGAUCUCAUCGCUGUCUAAAAAUGGAUAAAAAAAACAUAAGUGUCGAAGACUAUUAAGAGUAGCAGGUGUGUAGCAUUGCUAACUAGCUAGCAACAAGCCUCCAACACAGUGCGUAUGCUAGCGGCUAAUCUAACUAACGAAUUAACAACAGAGUGAUUUUAGAACUAUAAGAUGAUAAGCUGUGUGUCUUUUUUAUAACAGUGACAUGGUUGUAUUUACCUUAAUUAAACGAGUCGUCAGUCGCGGUAAACCAGCAAAAAAACUCGAGCAGCCGGGCUACGUAAAAAGUGUAGAGGAGCGUGUUUACGGUCACAUCCAGCGGGUGUGUGGGCG